CGAUCGCCUCGCAGUCUUGCACGGGGCUACGAAAUUGGUAUAAAUUCGGGGUCCCACCAUUCCAGCAGCAUCAGUACUUCUUCAGCUUCCUCCUGAACGAGCUACAUACACAAAAGUAUCAACAACUCUUUUCAACGAGUCUCAAAUUGUCCCCCUGUCUUUAAAUAAAUCCAAGAAUCUACUCAACAAAAUGCCUGGUGGAGUCAGAAUCAAUCCCCAAGUCGUCAAGGGACGCUGGUGGUUUCUGAAGGAUUCUGGAAAUACUCAGAAGCCUGCCAACCGUUUGGACCUCUUUACCGGAAAGACGACCGAGGUUAAGACGCCGGCUGGGGAUGCUUUUUCAAGCAAAUCCAACCCGAAUCCCAACGCGUCUGUUUGGGGGAACGGAAAAUCGUCCUGGUAGAGAGAGAUCUGAUGAGAGUCAUUCUAGCUCGACUGUGGUUUGUCAGCCUCCUCGAAGAUCAUCUGGUAGCGGUAUCGGUUCUGACACAUACGGCUUGGAUCAUGAGAUACGGAUUUAAUUGGUCAAGAAGAGUACGAAACGAUCAUAAAAAUAACUUUUCGAAUAAGUAAUGGCUUUGUUUUGUUCCUGUACACGUACGCAGUACAGAAUUUAUAAUGUAAUUUAUGCAAUAAUUUAACGAGUUACUUAUAUACUUACUACCAAGUUAAGAAUUAAUGUAUUUUUUUACGAUGGGAUAGGUCAUGCUCGAUCGCUUACUUUUUUUGCGAUCCUCGAGUAAUAAUCGUUUUUCUGAGGUAAUAUAAUGUACUUGUUUUGUUACAAAGAUAUCUCAUUUUGUACAUUUGAACAUUAGGAGCAACCAAUUUUUAUAGGUAUUAAGAGUAAUUACGCAUACUUAAAUAUACUAUUUUUAGGUUAUUAUACACACUUUGCUUAGAUAGUUGGAAGUUUGAUACUAAUAAAGUCGAGACGAAUAUUUACAUUGUAAAUUUAAAAA
Long non-coding RNA from Folsomia candida, 962 nucleotides. RefSeq lists it as uncharacterized. The record is from RefSeq and is a predicted model, not a curated record. Lineage: Eukaryota; Metazoa; Arthropoda; Collembola; Entomobryomorpha; Isotomidae. The transcript has 2 exons.